This is a long non-coding RNA of Pipra filicauda (Wire-tailed manakin), 232 nucleotides long. RefSeq lists it as uncharacterized. The record is from RefSeq and is a predicted model, not a curated record. The transcript has 2 exons. NCBI's taxonomy places the organism in Eukaryota, Metazoa, Chordata, Aves, Passeriformes, Pipridae.
CUCUUCUGUACCCCAGCUUUUCUUUCCAUUUGCUUGACAGGAGGCACCCCAAUAUUCUUUGCUGUGUGGAGUUCAGGACAGCUGCUGCCACGGGGAUAUAUUGAAGAAUGAUGACUGGUGCAUCAUUUGAUGUCACUGGCUAAGCCUGGCCUGACCCUGUCAAACCGCCAGGGUCACUUUGUUUGCUUGAAGAACCAGUUUCCUCACAAAUAAAAAAAAACCAACCCACAAA